UACGAAGGGGGCUAGCGUUGCUCGGAAUCACUGGGCGUAAAGCGCACGUAGGCGGAUUGCUAAGUCAGGGGUGAAAUCCUGGAGCUCAACUCCAGAACUGCCCUUGAUACUGGCGGUCUCGAGUCCGGGAGAGGUGAGUGGAACUGCGAGUGUAGAGGUGAAAUUCGUAGAUAUUCGCAAGAACACCAGUGGCGAAGGCGGCUCACUGGCCCGGUACUGACGCUGAGGUGCGAAAGCGUGGAGAGCAAACAGG
RNAcentral lists this ribosomal RNA (253 nucleotides) under uncultured bacterium. RNAcentral describes it as "partial 16S ribosomal RNA". It matches the Rfam family "Bacterial small subunit ribosomal RNA", at positions 524 to 776 of the family's 1533-position model. The record is from RNAcentral.